CCAGGGGUUUCCAGGCGUGAAAGGAGAAAAGGGUAAUCCUGGAUUUCUAGGAUCCAUUGGACCUCCAGGACCAAUUGGGCCAAAAGGACUACCUGGUGUACGUGGAGACCCUGGCACACUUAAGAUUAUCUCCCUUCCAGGAAGCCCAGGGCCACCUGGCACACCUGGAGAGCCAGGGAUGCAGGGAGAACCUGGGCCACCAGGGCCACCUGGAAACCUAGGUGUGGGACUGGCAGCAUUGACUUGGAUCACUAGGAAGUGGUUGAACCAAAAUACCUGUAAACUGCUUUGGAAACAGCUGAUACAACUUCACAGAAAAUGUUGAACAUGAUAGUGGUUUUCACAAUCAGUCUUAGGAUUGAGCUCAUUUUACCCUUGACCAGCAAAUAAAAGACCUUGGAAUCUAUUGAAAGCAGUUGUUCAUAGUAUAACUUGAACAAAU
This 442-nucleotide long non-coding RNA is filed under the name Pan troglodytes (chimpanzee). RNAcentral's name for it is "long non-coding RNA NONPTRT010937". The record is from RNAcentral. Lineage: Eukaryota; Metazoa; Chordata; Mammalia; Primates; Hominidae.